This 866-nucleotide ribosomal RNA is filed under the name Escherichia coli. RNAcentral describes it as "partial 23S ribosomal RNA". It matches the Rfam family "Bacterial large subunit ribosomal RNA", at positions 474 to 1339 of the family's 2925-position model. The record is from RNAcentral. Lineage: Bacteria; Pseudomonadati; Pseudomonadota; Gammaproteobacteria; Enterobacterales; Enterobacteriaceae.
UCCUGACUGACCGAUAGUGAACCAGUACCGUGAGGGAAAGGCGAAAAGAACCCCGGCGAGGGGAGUGAAAAAGAACCUGAAACCGUGUACGUACAAGCAGUGGGAGCCUCUUUUAUGGGGUGACUGCGUACCUUUUGUAUAAUGGGUCAGCGACUUAUAUUCUGUAGCAAGGUUAACCGAAUAGGGGAGCCGAAGGGAAACCGAGUCUUAACUGGGCGUUAAGUUGCAGGGUAUAGACCCGAAACCCGGUGAUCUAGCCAUGGGCAGGUUGAAGGUUGGGUAACACUAACUGGAGGACCGAACCGACUAAUGUUGAAAAAUUAGCGGAUGACUUGUGGCUGGGGGUGAAAGGCCAAUCAAACCGGGAGAUAGCUGGUUCUCCCCGAAAGCUAUUUAGGUAGCGCCUCGUGAAUUCAUCUCCGGGGGUAGAGCACUGUUUCGGCAAGGGGGUCAUCCCGACUUACCAACCCGAUGCAAACUGCGAAUACCGGAGAAUGUUAUCACGGGAGACACACGGCGGGUGCUAACGUCCGUCGUGAAGAGGGAAACAACCCAGACCGCCAGCUAAGGUCCCAAAGUCAUGGUUAAGUGGGAAACGAUGUGGGAAGGCCCAGACAGCCAGGAUGUUGGCUUAGAAGCAGCCAUCAUUUAAAGAAAGCGUAAUAGCUCACUGGUCGAGUCGGCCUGCGCGGAAGAUGUAACGGGGCUAAACCAUGCACCGAAGCUGCGGCAGCGACGCUUAUGCGUUGUUGGGUAGGGGAGCGUUCUGUAAGCCUGUGAAGGUGUGCUGUGAGGCAUGCUGGAGGUAUCAGAAGUGCGAAUGCUGACAUAAGUAACGAUAAAGCGGGUGAAAAGCCCGCUCGCCG